UAACGCACAUCGUAUUUGAAAUGAUCAGAGAUAAAAAAACAAUUACAGUAAAACUAAAAAUAGAAAGAAUAAAUUAUAUUACUAAUGAGGUUGACUUCUGUUAGCAAUGCAGUUUAUUACAUAUCAAUUUAUAGAAAUAAUAAAAAAUGGACGGAUACUUUACAAAUUCUGGAUGAAUAUCUGAGAUAAAUCUGGACGGAUAUCUCUUAUUUACUGUUUUUCAUGAUAUUGUUAUAUUUGUAACUAAUCAUCGUAACAAUUAAAGUCAUUCUAUCUGUCAAACGCAAAAA
Molecule: long non-coding RNA, 290 nt
Organism: Frieseomelitta varia
Lineage: Eukaryota; Metazoa; Arthropoda; Insecta; Hymenoptera; Apidae
Exons: 2
Source: RefSeq, a predicted model, not a curated record